CUCUACGGCCAUGCCACCCUGAACAUGCCUGAUCUCCUCUGAUCUUGGAAGCUAAGCAGGGUUGGGCCUGGUUCGUACUCAAAUGGGAGACCACCUAGGAAUACCAGGUGCUAUAGGCG
This 119-nucleotide ribosomal RNA is filed under the name Pteropus alecto (black flying fox). The record is from RNAcentral. Lineage: Eukaryota; Metazoa; Chordata; Mammalia; Chiroptera; Pteropodidae.